AUUGACAACGUUGUGUGAACAAAACAAACAGACAUUAUGGGUUAAAUUGUCAAAAAUAGGGGUAAAGCAGUCAACAUUGUGUGAUAAUCUUAAUCAUUAUAAACACAAACAAAUAUGUAAUCAAAUAUUUUACCACGACACAAUAUCAAUGACGGGAUGUACAUAGCCACGUAUAUAUGUAACAAAUAAACACAGAAAGAUAUAUAGACUAAGAUUGUUCUGACUGUACUUUAUU
Molecule: long non-coding RNA, 235 nt
Filed under: Mytilus galloprovincialis (Mediterranean mussel)
Lineage: Eukaryota; Metazoa; Mollusca; Bivalvia; Mytilida; Mytilidae
Source: RNAcentral